RNA transcript from Drosophila novamexicana, 4542 nucleotides. It is a transcript of the gene named protein held out wings, with no coding region annotated. The record is from RefSeq and is a predicted model, not a curated record. The transcript has 9 exons. Lineage: Eukaryota; Metazoa; Arthropoda; Insecta; Diptera; Drosophilidae.
GUGCGGUUCAGUUGUAGAAGUAGGAAGAAUCGUUCAAGUAGAGGCGAGAUCCGUGCGUUUUCCUUUUACCCGACUCGAAUACAUUUUAUAUAAACAAAAAAAGGAAUUCUUAAAUAUUAAAUAUAUGAACUGUGCAACAAAUGCAAAUAAGUAACUUUUAAACUCGAAACACCAACAAGAAAUCAAAGCGAGUUACGGGAACAGAAAAAAAAAAUAAAAUAAAAGAAAAUAGCCUUUUGUUUAGCAAUUGUGCAAUACGUUAAAAAAGCCAAGCGAAAGCAGAACAUAGAGAAACUGUCGAAAAAAUUUAAUACGCAUCAUAAAAGAAUCUCGGCAACAGCAACAAUCUCGGCAACAAUAUUGUGCAACACAAAGUAAACAAUUGUAAAAGCUUUAACAAAAACACACUCGCCCACACACACACAUAUAUACACACUCGCACACAACAACAAAAUGAGUGUAUGCGAGAACAAGACCGUUGUGCAACAGCAGUUGCAACAACAGGCCGCCGCUGCUGUUGCGGCUGCCGCAGCCGCCGCAGUUGCUCAGCAGCAACAACAACAGCCCACGCAAGUGGUGCCACAGCCGCAGCACAUGACGCCCCAACAACAACAACAGAGCACACAAAGCAUUGCCGACUAUUUGGCCCAAUUGCUAAAGGAUCGCAAACAGUUGGCCGCAUUUCCAAAUGUCUUUACGCAUGUGGAACGCCUGCUGGAUGAAGAAAUUGCACGCGUUCGCGCUUCACUAUUCCAGAUUAAUGGCGUUAAAAAGGAGCCACUUACCCUGCCCGAGCCCGAGGGCGCUAUGGUUACGCUGAAUGAGAAGGUUUAUGUGCCAGUGCGUGAGCAUCCAGAUUUCAACUUUGUUGGUCGCAUUUUGGGACCACGCGGCAUGACAGCCAAACAAUUAGAACAAGAGACUGGUUGUAAGAUAAUGGUUCGCGGCAAGGGCUCCAUGCGGGACAAGAAGAAGGAGGAUGCCAAUCGUGGUAAACCGAACUGGGAGCACUUGUCUGAUGAUCUGCAUGUCCUGAUCACUGUUGAGGAUACAGAGAAUCGCGCCAAAGUCAAACUGGCUCAGGCUGUCGCUGAAGUGCAAAAGUUGCUCGUGCCGCAAGCCGAAGGCGAAGAUGAGCUAAAGAAACGUCAACUUAUGGAAUUAGCCAUUAUUAACGGCACCUAUAGGGACACAACAGCGAAAUCAGUCGCAGCUUUCUCAUGCGUUGGUUCUCCUUCUGCUUCUGUUCUGUAUCCCGCAGUGUGCGAAGAGGACUGGCGCCGUUUGGUUGCUGCAUCGGAUAGUCGCCUGUUGACGCCCACACUGUCCGGACUGGCUACACAGCUACGUUCACCCGCCAAUGCACCGUUGGGCGCACCGUUGAUACUUAAUCCACGCAUGACAGUGCCCACAACAGCGGCAAGCAUAUUGUCCGCCCAGGCAGCGCCGACAGGUGCCUUCGAUCAGACCGCCCAUGGCAUGAUCUUUGCGCCGUAUGGUGACUACGCGAAUUAUGCUGCACUGGCCGGCAAUCCUCUGCUGACGGAAUAUGCAGAUCAUAGCGUAGGCGCCCUUAAGCAGCAACGUCGUUUGGCAGCUAACAGAGAACACCCAUAUCAGCGUACAACGGUCGGAGUGCCAGCCAAGCCGGCGGGUUUCAUUGAGAUACAGUAAACGCACAAUAUAGCAACAACAGCAAUAAAUGAAUUUCGUUUCAAUUCACGAAACAAAAACGUUUACCCAAAACCAAUUUUUUUGUAUUUAUCUAAAGCAAAUUUUAAAAUUUUUUUCUCACUAUGUUAAAGAAGUUAACGAUGAGUGUUGUCGUUUAACUUGCAAACUUAUUGCAAAAUUAUGUGGUUUGUUUUAUCUAAGCCCGCCAUUAUGUUCAAACUGGGCAUUAUUCAAUUUAGUUCAAUUAUGCUAAUGAUUUUGUAUUUAUUUGUUUUGCACUCUGCAUCUAUAUCAAAUUUACUUUAUUCAAUUUGUUUUCAAAAAGUGUUUUUUUUUUAUAAUAUGAAGAACCUCUUGUAUCAAUUGCUGUUGCCCUGCUGUGUGCACAAUGAAACCCAGCCAGUCCAGUUGGCCAGGCCGGUCUGUGCAGCUCCGUAACUCAGUUAAUUCAGUCCAAUAAAUAACUCAAGCGCCUCACAGAUGCGAUAGAUGCACCUACAAUUGAGGCGCAGCCAGGAAGCAGCAGCAAGAGAUUCGCAUAUGAUGUACUAAGAUCAGAAGGAAGCAGCAGCAUCAACAGCAGCAUAUUAACAGCCAUAAGAGGAACAGCUGUGGGAGCGGAAACGGAACCGGAAGCAGUGUGGCAAUGGCAGUAACCCAGCAUUGUGUGCCAUUAUGUAUGGAAUGUGAAAUGCUAAUUGCAAGUUGUGCAAGACCCACUUGUUACUGACAACUACUAAAAUAACACACAACUCACACCACACACGCACAACAACAUACAAGAUCACAUGUAUAUGCUCUAUAAAAACAUAUCCACUCAAAGUCUGUGGCCUGUUGCUUGCGCCUGUAGCACUCAUCUAAAUGCAACAGCAGCAACUGCGACUGCAAACAACAACAUCAACAACAGCAAGAAGAAGCAGAAAAUAAUGUAUUGAAUUUUGUGGCCAUUACUGUUGCGUUUUGCCAGCCAGCAAACAAAACGAAACAAACAAUUACAUUAACAAAUCAUAUAUAGUUUCUAGAUUAAAUUAAAAAAAAAAAAAAAAAAAAUCGAAAGGAAAGAGAACACACAUAAAUAUUAUCUAUUAACCACUUUUAAGUUAUAGUACAUAGUGAAAAGUUCAGCGAACAAAAAUUACUUAAUUAAACUGCAGUCUCGUGCAUACAACCAUUGUGCAUAUAACAAAUAUCGAUUUGUUUAUAAAAGAAAAAAAAAAACAAACAAACAAAGUAAAAAAGAGAAUAUCAUUUACCGAAUCUCAUCUGCAAAACGUUUUUUAUAGCAUUGUAUUUUUUUCAACAUCAAACAACGCGAUGAAGAAUCUUUUUUAUAGUUUUUUUAAGGCUAAACAAUUGUUUUAUCUGUGUAAUUAAAAUGUAAUCACACACACACGCACACACACAGACGCACAUCCACUCAUUAGGCGGCAAUUAAUUGUUGUAUGCUCUGAUAAUUUAUAAGAUUAUAACAAAAUAUCCAAUAUCUGAGAAUAUUUUUGUUAAAUUGACGCAAAUUCGUUGUUAAUGAAGAAUUUCGAUUAUGAUUAUGUUAUAUACUUUAUACACCCAUUUACACACAGACACACAUCAAUAUUAAGUAUAUAUAUCGCGCUGAUUGUGAGCGCGUGUGCUUAUUAAAUAAUACAAAAUAAAAGUAACAGCCAUAUUUAGUUAAUGAAAAGUAACGAAUAUCAUGCAUUAAUAAUGUACAAGUAAAACCUAAAUAGUUUUAAUGUCUAGUGUUAAUAUUGAGCUCAAGCACAAUGUAUUAUACACCAGAAAGAAAAAAACAAUGUUAAAUAAAUAAUUCAUGAUGGGUAAAAGAUUUUUGACCAAAAUACCGCAUAUAAAACAAAACAGAAAUUCUUUAAUUUAAAAUAAAUGUUGGAAGUUAUAGAACGCAAGAUUAUGUAAAUUUUUUCUAUAUAUUUAUAUAAAUAUUUAUAUUUUUUAAAGCGCGAACUCAUUAUACCCAUUAACAGCUAACUAUCAUAUCUGUAUGCGAUUUAAAGCAAAAUGCAUAUAUUAUUAAACAUAAAGAGAAAAAUAAAAAUGAAAUUGCAUUUAAAUUAUGGUACAAAAGAAAGACGGCUACGUUUUAUUUUAAAUUAAAGAAUUUUCCUAAAUGCAGCUGGGCUUUUAACGAAGCUAAAUUUAAAUAAACCAAUUGAAACAAAUAUGUAAUUAGUGUGCCUUUCAAACAUAUUGCAUCUAAGUUAAAUGUUAAAUUAAUUUUAUAGCGGCACAAAUCAAAAAUCAUACAAAAAUUAAAUAAAUAAAAAAAAGUAAACAAAAAAAUGAAUGAGUAAAUUAAAUAAGGAGAAGUGGCGAAAAUCACAGGCAGCAGCCAAAACAUUAUGAAAUUAUAAUAUGAAAUAUGUGAAGCGACAUACUCAAUAAUUACAACAGAUUAAAUAAUUUAAAGAAAAACUAUUUAAUGAUGAUACAAUUUUAAAUAAUAUUUAUGUUUAGUAACGGCAAUCGUGCAAUCGUAGCAAUGAGCACCGCCAAAAUUUUCAAAUCUUUUGGUGUGCAGCCUAAAACGAAUCUUCUCGUUGUUAUUUUGGUUUCGUGUUCGAUUUCGAAAUUCAAUUCAAUUGAUGAUUGUGAGUAAUUUAAUAAAGCUACUAUAUAUACAUAUACCAUAAUAAGCUUAAGCACAUUGCAAUGAAUGUUGUAUGUAUUGUGUUAUUGGGAAAAAUUUAUUUCAAACAAUAUUCAUUCAUUUAAAUAUAAAACAUCAAAUAUAAAUCAUAUAAUUGCAAAUUCAUUGAAAUCUUGCAAAUCUAUCCACAUACAUAUGUUCAAAUAAUAAAUACAUAUAUACACAACUGUAAUAAAAUCAAACUAAAUUAUGUACAAGUUUUU